This is a non-coding RNA of Marmota flaviventris (yellow-bellied marmot), 370 nucleotides long. The record is from RefSeq and is a predicted model, not a curated record. NCBI's taxonomy places the organism in Eukaryota, Metazoa, Chordata, Mammalia, Rodentia, Sciuridae.
AUGGCCUGAGGCCCCCAGGAGGCCCCUGAUGUAGAAGGUUCUGACUGGAAAGGAGCCACACCUUGUCCCAGGGCCCAGCCGCAAGGAGCCUGCCCCCAGAGUCACAAGCUCUCCCCACAGCGCUGCUUCUUCUGGCUCUGCCUGACCACGCCACUGCUUGACCUGGAGCCCACGGGUGACCACAGCCCCCAUGCGGUAGCCCAGGCACUGGCCAGUCUCUCAGCACCUUCACGACUCUCCUCUAGGAACCCUCCGUCUGUCCUCUGGUUCCGGCCGAGAUCCACACAGUCACCAAGCUCAGGAUCAAACAUAAAACGCAUUUGCCACAAAUAAAUAUCACGACCAGAACGGGCAUCGGCCUGAGCCUCAA